RNAcentral lists this ribosomal RNA (305 nucleotides) under uncultured bacterium. Its description in RNAcentral is "bacterial SSU rRNA". It matches the Rfam family "Bacterial small subunit ribosomal RNA", at positions 333 to 630 of the family's 1533-position model. The record is from RNAcentral.
AUGGUCCUACGGGGCGCAGCAGUAGGGAAUUUUCGUCAAUGGGCGCAAGCCUGGACGAGCGAUGCCGCGUGAGUGAAGAAGGCCUUCGGGCCGUAAAGCUCUGUUGCGGGGGAAAAAAGGCAGCAUCAGGAAAUGGGUGCUGACUGAUGGUGCCCCGCCAGAAAGUCACGGCUAACUACGUGCCAGCAGCCGCGGUAAUACGUAGGUGGCGAGCGUUAUCCGGAAUGAUUGGGCGUAAAGGGUGCGCAGGCGGUCCUGCAAGUCUGGAGUGAAACGCAUGAGCUCAACUCAUGCAUGGGUUUGGG